Molecule: ribosomal RNA, 505 nt
Filed under: uncultured bacterium
Lineage: Bacteria
Description: bacterial SSU rRNA
Rfam family: Bacterial small subunit ribosomal RNA
Source: RNAcentral
GAUGAACGCUAGCGGCAGGCCUAACACAUGCAAGUCGAACGGUAACAGGGAUUGCUUGCAAUCCGCUGACGAGUGGCGCACGGGUGCGUAACGCGUAUACAAUCUGCCUUUAACUAAGGGAUAGCCCAGAGAAAUUUGGAUUAAUACCUUAUAACAUUGUGAUUUGGCAUCUUAUUACAAUUAAAACUUCGGUGGUUAAAGAUGAGUAUGCGUCCUAUUAGCUUGUUGGUAAGGUAACGGCUUACCAAGGCAACGAUAGGUAGGGGGCCUGAAAGGGUGAUCCCCCACACUGGUACUGAGACACGGACCAGACUCCUACGGGAGGCAGCAGUGAGGAAUAUUGCGCAAUGGACGAAAGUCUGACGCAGCCAUGCCGCGUGCAGGAUGACGGCGCUACGCGUUGUAAACUGCUUUUAUAUGCCAAGAAACCUUCGGACGUGUCCGAAGCUGACGGUAGCAUAUGAAUAAGCACCGGCUAACUCCGUGCCAGCAGCCGCCGUAACAC